This is a non-coding RNA of Oryza glumipatula, 204 nucleotides long. Lineage: Eukaryota; Viridiplantae; Streptophyta; Magnoliopsida; Poales; Poaceae. The record is from Rfam.
AAUAAGUGCAACUAUAAGUUUUCACGCCCAACUUUGAUCGUCUGUCUUAUUUGAAUAUUUUUUAUAAUUAGCAAUUUUGUUGUUAUAAGAUAAUAAAACAUGAAUAGUACUUUACUAGUGACUUAUGUUUUUAAUUUUUUUUAAUUUUUUUUAAAUAAGACGAAUAAUCAAAGUUGGGCGCUGAAAACCAUAGCUGUACUUAUU